Molecule: ribosomal RNA, 433 nt
Filed under: uncultured bacterium
Lineage: Bacteria
Description: bacterial SSU rRNA
Rfam family: Bacterial small subunit ribosomal RNA
Source: RNAcentral
GAUGAACGCUGGCGGCGUGCUUAACACAUGCAAGUCGAACGAACCUUCGGGUUAGUGGCGGACGGGUGAGUAACGCGUGGGAAUCUGCCCUCAGGAGGGGGAUAACGGUUGGAAACGGCCGCUAAUACCCCAUAUGCCGAGAGGUGAAAUGAAUUUCGCCUGAGGAUGAGCCCGCGUCUGAUUAGCUAGUUGGUGUAGGUAAUGGCUCACCAAGGCAUCGAUCAGUAGCUGGUCUGAGAGGAUGAUCAGCCACACUGGGACUGAGACACGGCCCAGACUCCUACGGGAGGCAGCAGUGGGGAAUUUUCCGCAAUGGGCGAAAGCCUGACGGAGCAACGCCGCGUGAGGGAUGAAGGCCUCUGGGCUGUAAACCUCUUUUAUCAAGGAAGAAGAUCUGACGGUACUUGAUGAAUAAGCCACGGCUAAUUCCGUG